This 257-nucleotide long non-coding RNA is filed under the name Lathyrus oleraceus (garden pea). RNAcentral describes it as "Pisum sativum (pea) long non-coding RNA (PSAT_LNC038006)". The record is from RNAcentral. Lineage: Eukaryota; Viridiplantae; Streptophyta; Magnoliopsida; Fabales; Fabaceae.
AAAAAAAUUAUUAUAAAUAAACUCGAAGAUUCAAAAGAAGCACAAAAAAGGGCACUCGAUUGAAAAAUAGAAAAAAAAAAGAGAAAACCGAGCGAAAAAACAAAAGAAACCAACACAGUAGGUAACAUUGACUCUGAACCAAAAACCACUUGUUUCCCAUUUUUGUUUGAAUAUCCACACCCUAACCCAAGCCAAGUUACAACCCGAAAGACCUCAAAAGUGUGUGUGUUGGGUGUAGGUGAUAUGAAAAGAGAGAC